This 439-nucleotide ribosomal RNA is filed under the name Dietzia sp. oral taxon D12. RNAcentral's name for it is "bacterial SSU rRNA". It matches the Rfam family "Bacterial small subunit ribosomal RNA", at positions 28 to 502 of the family's 1533-position model. Lineage: Bacteria; Bacillati; Actinomycetota; Actinomycetes; Mycobacteriales; Dietziaceae. The record is from RNAcentral.
GACGAGCGCUGGCGGCGUGCUUAACACAUGCAAGUCGAGCGGUAAGCCUUUCGGGGUACACGAGCGGCGAACGGGUGAGUAACACGUGGGUGAUCUGCCUGCACUUCGGGAUAAGCCUGGGAAACUGGGUCUAAUACCGGAUAUGACCUCCUAUGCAUGGUGGGUGGUGGAAAGAUUUAUCGGUGCAGGAUGGGCCCGCGGCUUAUCAGUUUGUGGGUAUGGCUACCAAGGCGACGACGGUACCGACCUGAGAGGGUGACCGGCCACACUGGGAUGGACACGGCCCAGACUCUACGGGAGGCAGCAGUGGGAAUAUUGCACAAUGGGCGAAAGCCUGUGCAGCGACGCCGGUGAGGGAUGACGGCUUUCGGGUUGUAAACCUCUUUACAGCAGGACGAAGCGCAAGUGACGGUACCUGCAGAAGAAGCACCGGCUAACU